RNAcentral lists this long non-coding RNA (390 nucleotides) under Bemisia tabaci. RNAcentral describes it as "lncRNA ENSASIAIIG005387". The record is from RNAcentral. Lineage: Eukaryota; Metazoa; Arthropoda; Insecta; Hemiptera; Aleyrodidae.
GCAUGCCACAGUCGCACUCUUCCAGAUGCCCCAGCGGAGGAAAACGCAACACCUCGCGCCGCACCCCCGGAAACCCGCCAACUCGAGCCCUCAGGAGGACCCCUUGGUCAGCUGCCUGGACGCCGAUGCCACCUACAUCUGCACCGCGUACAACUCCCGCUGCUACAUCAUCCAAAAGAUCUCAGCUGUGGUGGAAAGCGGAGGCUUGAAUCCCGAUGCCGAUGAAUUUCAAUACAAGGGUAUCAAAGAUUUCAGCGAAUCGGACCAGGCUGAAUUUUACGAACCUGAUGUCGACUUCGAAGAAGAAUCACAAAUGGGUGUUCUGGAGGAUGGUAAGUAGAUUUUUCAUCAAUAUUAUCAUUCAAUUGCGAAGGGAAAAUAUAUUUAUGG